This 502-nucleotide ribosomal RNA is filed under the name uncultured bacterium. Its description in RNAcentral is "partial 16S ribosomal RNA". It matches the Rfam family "Bacterial small subunit ribosomal RNA", at positions 28 to 507 of the family's 1533-position model. The record is from RNAcentral.
GACGAACGCUGGCGGCGUGCUUAACACAUGCAAGUCGAACGGUGAAGGGGUCUGCUUUUGUGGGCCCUGGAUGAGUGGCGAACGGGUGAGUAACACGUGAGUAACCUGCCCCCUUCUUCUGGAUAACCGCAUGAAAGUGUGGCUAAUACGGGAUAUUCUGGGUCUGUCGCAUGAUGGGUCUGGGAAGGAUUGCGCCUUUGGGUGUUUUUGGUGGGGGAUGGGCUCGCGGCCUAUCAGCUUGUUGGUGGGGUGAUGGCCUACCAAGGCGGUGACGGGUAGCCGGCCUGAGAGGGUGGACGGUCACACUGGGACUGAGACACGGCCCAGACUCCUACGGGAGGCAGCAGUGGGGAAUAUUGCACAAUGGGCGCAAGCCUGAUGCAGCGACGCCGCGUGAGGGAUGGAGGCCUUCGGGUUGUAAACCUCUUUCGCCAGUGAAGCAGGCCUGCUCCUUGUGGGUGGGUUGACGGUAGCUGGAUAAGAAGCGCCGGCUAACUACGUG